This 80-nucleotide non-coding RNA is filed under the name Dethiosulfatibacter aminovorans. Its description in RNAcentral is "Glycine sequence". It matches the Rfam family "Glycine riboswitch aptamer". From Rfam's summary of the family: This family represents the bacterial glycine riboswitch. Glycine riboswitches usually consist of two metabolite-binding aptamers domains with similar structures in tandem. The record is from RNAcentral. Lineage: Bacteria; Bacillati; Bacillota; Tissierellia.
UGAUGGAACUCUGAAGAGACUGCUGGAGCAGCACCGAAGGGGAAUAUAAAACUCUCAGGUAAAGGAACAGAGGUUGUGAG